This 253-nucleotide ribosomal RNA is filed under the name uncultured bacterium. RNAcentral describes it as "partial 16S ribosomal RNA". It matches the Rfam family "Bacterial small subunit ribosomal RNA", at positions 524 to 776 of the family's 1533-position model. The record is from RNAcentral.
UACGAAGGGGGCUAGCGUUGCUCGGAAUCACUGGGCGUAAAGCGCACGUAGGCGGAUCUUUAAGUCAGAGGUGAAAGCCCGGAGCUCAACUCCGGAACUGCCUUUAAAACUGCAUCGCUUGAAUCCAGGAGAGGUGAGUGGAAUUCCGAGUGUAGAGGUGAAAUUCGUAGAUAUUCGGAAGAACACCAGUGGCGAAGGCGGCUCACUGGACUGGUAUUGACGCUGAGGUGCGAAAGCGUGGGGAGCAAACAGG